Long non-coding RNA from Lacerta agilis (Sand lizard), 465 nucleotides. RefSeq lists it as uncharacterized. The record is from RefSeq and is a predicted model, not a curated record. The transcript is spliced from 3 exons. NCBI's taxonomy places the organism in Eukaryota, Metazoa, Chordata, Lepidosauria, Squamata, Lacertidae.
UGGGUGUGUGUGAAAGAGAAAAUUGCUCUCCUUCCACUUUGACCGAGUUUGCAAAUGAAGGAGGGAGUGAAUUUGAAGAGGGACCAGCGUACACGAAAAGUCUCCCGAUGACAAACAAUGAUAUAUGAUUCGCCACACCCCUCACCAGCCUUCCAUCAGACCCUCCUUGAUUGCUUUUGCCUGGCUGGGAUGUGCAUGCCUGAACAGAGGGUCGAGAGAGGUGUGUGCAGAAACUACCAUAACUCUAUGAAGGCAAACAGGGCGCUGUCAUGGAUUGAGUUUUCUGGAAGUUUCUCAGAAAGCGGCGGACAUAUUCAGGCGGAAACUCCCGAGCGAAGUCAGCCACUAAAGAGACAUGAAGAGGGUGUUCCAUAAUUAAUGUAAUGGCAAAAGGCUUCAAGAAUAAUUGAACCAUGGAUUGUUCUGUUUUAAAGGUCAGCUGAAAUGCAAUUUUACCAUGAAAUA